UUUUUUUUUUUUUUUUUGAGACAGGGUCUGUCACGGGCUGGAGUGCAGUGAUGUGAUCAUAGCUCUUGGCAGCUUCGACCUCUCUGGCUCAAGCGAUCCUCCCACCUCAGCCUCCUGAGUAGCUGGGACUACAGGUGCAACCCACCACGCCCAGCUGAUUUUUUUUUUUUUUUUUGGUAGAGAUGGGGGUCUCACUAUGUUGCCCAGGCUGGUCUCAACUCCUGGGCUCAAGCAAUUUUCCCAACUCAGCCUCAUGAGUAGCUGGGACUACUCAUGAGGUGCGCCUCUACACCUAGCUAAUUUUUGUAUUUUUGUUGUUAUAGAUACAGGUUUCCACCAUGUUGUCCAUGUUGUCCAGGCUGGUCUUGAACUCCUGAGCUCAAGUGAUUCACCGUCCUCAGCUUCCCAGAGUGCUCAGAUUAUAGGCGUGAGCCACUGUGCCUGGCCAGAAAUUCAAUUCUGAUACAAGCUACAGUGUAGAUGAAUCUGGAAAACAUUAUGCUAAGUGAAAUAAGCUAGGCACAAAAGGAAAAGUAGUGUAUGAUUCCACUUACAUGAUGUAUCUAGAAUAGGCAGAUUGGUGGAGACAGAAAGCAGAUUUAGAAGUUACCAGGGGCUUGUGGGAGAAGAGAUGAGGGAGUGAUUGCUUAAUGGGUACAGUUUCUGUUUGGGGUAAUGAAAAAGUUACAGAAAUAGAUAGUGGUGAUGGUUGCACAACAUUGUGAAUAUACUUAAUGCCAUUGAAUUGUAAACUUAAAAAUGGCUAAAAUGGCAUAUUUUAUGUUUUAUAUAGUUUACUACAACAGGGGGAAAAAAGUGAAUGGAAGCCCUGAGGUAGGAAUUACUGAAUGUGAGGGCCACUGUGAGUUCUGGCUGGGCCGCUUCCUUAGGGAAUCCUGGAUUCAGAACCUUUAGACUGAGAAGCCCCAGUGAAGGCUCUUUCAGUGACUUGCCUGAAGCACACAGACCUGUGUACUGGGGUUUUGAGAGGCAGUGAGAGGAAGAGGCUGGGAGGAGAAAGGGCUCAACAUUUACAACAAGUUUCUACUGAAUCUGCUGUUCUCAGCAUGACUAACACCUUCACCCAAGCCUGGUGUUCCCUGACCCAGUGGCCUCUGCCUUAUUUGUUCCAGAAAAUACACUUCCAGGCUGCCUCUAGGGAGAGGGAGAGGAGCAGUGACCCGGUUGUGCAGAGGGGAAAGGCACCUUGAGGUCAAAGUGUUUCCGGGGUGAAUUUCCAACUGUCAGAGGUUCUUAAACCAGAGCAACUCCAUCUUGAAUAGGAGCUGGGUAAAAUGAGGCUGAGACCUACCAGGCUGCUUUUCCAGACGUUUAAGGCAUUCUAAGUCGCAGGAUGAGAGAGGAGGUCGGCACAAAAUACAGGUCAUAAAGACCUUACUCAUAAAACAGGCUGUAGUAAAGAAGCUGGUCAAAAUCCACCAAAACCAAGAUGGCCACAAGAGUGACUUCUGGUUGUCCUCACUGCUACACUCCCACCAGCACCAUGACGGUUUACAAAUGCCAUGGCAACGUGAGGAAGUUACCCUGUAUGGUCUAAAAAGGGGAGGCAUGAAUAAUCCACCCCUUCUUUAGCAUAUCAUCAAGAAAUAACCACCAAAAUGGGCAACCAGCAGCCCUUGGGGCUGCUCUCUAUGGAGUAGCCAUUCUUCUGUUCCUUUACUUUCUUAAUAAACUUGCUUUUGCUUUGCACUGUGGAGUCGCCCUGAAUUCUUUCUUGCAAAAGAUUAAAAAACCCUCUCUUGGGGUCUGGAUCUGGACCCUUUUCCCGUAACACAACCACUCCUUUUAUUUGUAGACCUUUCUCCAUCUUCACUUCCAGAAGUUUCUGGUUCUUACAAUGUUCAGAUCUUUGGGAAUCCUAAAGUCAAAAAAUAGGCUGCUUCUCAGCUGUACCCACUGCAGUUUAGGGAUCAGAUUUUGUGGAUUUAUAUCGUGUUUUUAAAAAAUCAAUUUGUUGUUUUAAAGAGACCUAAUUUCUUUAACCCAGACUUAUUUAUGACCACAUUAAGUUUUCAAAAAAAAUUCAACUCUCUUUUAAUAGCUGCUUUUGGACUUAAUUGCAUUAUGGCCAAAAAUGUGAUCUGCCUAUAGCGUUUCUCACAUUUUAGGAAACUUCUUUUGUGAUCUACCGCAUGUUCAACUUUUGUAAAUGUUCUCUUGUGUACUUGACUCUUUGAAGUAGGCAGAAUGGGAUUCUUAUUAUCCCUGUAUUUUAGGCAGCUAAUCAGGAGUCCAGAGAAGGUUCAAGACUUGUCCAAAGUCCCACAGUAAGGCUGGACCAGAACAGAGGAAUGGGGAAGAAAGUAUCAGAGCAUGAUGUGAAGCACACAGACUCCAGUCCCAUUGCCUAGGCUAUGGCAUGUGCCUGUCAACUGACAGCUGGAGAUCAUGUUAGUUCCUACUUGCUACCAUUGUUUGGAGGGCUUCCUAUGUGGCGUAAACACUCAGAAUCUGUUAUUAUUAUUCCUUUUUACUCUUCAUCCAGGUUUCACAAUGCCUCUUGUAUAGAGGAGUCAUUCCAAUAAAGAUGACGUCAUUAGAAACUUUUGCAACUACUCUUCAACCCUACCAUUUCUAUUAUAUCCUGGCCACUGUGCAUAAGAGAGAUUAUGGCUACAAAUACCACAGUCUAAGCAUAGAAAAGCUUCCUGGAAGGAAUCCAUAGAAAGGGCACACAAGUCAAUUCAGCAAACUCUGUAUUGAGGGCCUACCAUGUGGCUAGUGUACCAUUCUUAUCAGAGUUAUUUUCUGUCUUUUGGGGUUCAUUUAUGCCUUAAAAAAUGUAAAUGCUCACCAAAACUUUUGUGUAGUAAAAACAACAAAAAUGCUUACAGAAAAGGUUAAAGGUAGCUGGGAAAGUGGGGGCAGUGGUGACGGGAGGUAGCCAUUCAUUUUAUGGCAGAGUUUUCUAAAUAAAAGGAAUUAUCUGGGCUGCCCGGACUGUUGGAUGCUAAUCCCUACAAUAAUUACCCACAAAGCUUUCAGAGCCACAGAAUCCACCAGCUGGGAGGGAGUGCGGCCAGUGGUGGAUGUCCAUUGAGCUGUUUGUGUUGAAGCCGAGUUCUCUCUUUCUCUUUUGUGGACACAAACAGCUGACAGUCUUAAAAUAAAGGCACUUUGCCCGCCUCUGAUCUGGAUGCCUGGAAAUAGGCCAGCCCCCCCAUCUCCCUUGUUGCAGACCCUGUGUUCCACAUCUGUCUCCAUUAAACCAGUUUUUACAUCUGUUCUUUACUUUGAAUCUUCCCAACUUCUGGGACAAAAUGAAAGCAUUGUUGAUGAUUUAUUUCUUUACUCUCACCACUAUUGCGUGGAAUGUAAUAUGAAAGGACAUUUAAAAACACUUUUUAUUUUGGAAUAAUAUUAGACUUUGAGAAAAGUUGCAAAACAGCACAAAGCAGCUGGGUGCAGUAGCUCAUGCCUGUAAUCCCAGCACUUUAGGAGGCCGAGCUGGGUGGAUCACCUGAGGUCAGGAGUGCAAGACUAGCCUGGCCAACAUGGUGAAACCCCAUCUCUACAAAAAAUACAAAAAUGAGCCGGGCAUGGUGGCAUGUACCUUUAAUCCCAGCUACUUGGGAGGCUGAGGCA
Molecule: long non-coding RNA, 3606 nt
Filed under: Macaca fascicularis (crab-eating macaque)
Lineage: Eukaryota; Metazoa; Chordata; Mammalia; Primates; Cercopithecidae
Description: lncRNA (ENSMFAG00000054794.1)
Source: RNAcentral